Brassica napus (rape) is the source of this 751-nucleotide long non-coding RNA. RefSeq lists it as uncharacterized. The transcript is spliced from 3 exons. Lineage: Eukaryota; Viridiplantae; Streptophyta; Magnoliopsida; Brassicales; Brassicaceae. The record is from RefSeq and is a predicted model, not a curated record.
UUUUAUUUAUUUGUCGGUGUGUCUUAGUUCUUCUUCCUCGAUGUUUAAUCAGGCCGAAAUUUGUUCUUCUCCUAAAGAGGUUGAGAUUCCCGUCAAACCUGGUUGGCUGCUUCUUCAGGGCUCAACUGGUAUCCCUGCGGAAGUGUAAAUAGCUUGCAUGAGAGAUGCCACGGACAAAAAAAAACAGUCUUGGUCCUAAACAGAUUAAUCCCCUGGUUAGUGAACUUCAGGAUAUUUACUGUCCUUUUUAUGAUAUUACUUACAAAACUGGGGAACUGUUUUGUUUCAUGUAUGUUAACUACUGAUCUCGCUGUAAUGAGUCAUCCUCAGUCAUCAUGGAUUGUACUAUGGAAAAAAGCAAGAAAGAUCUUUUUACCAUCAAAUGCAGUGAACAGAGAUAGAUGAUAUUAUAGAGUUUCAUGUAUGGCUGUGAUGCAACAUAGUGCAAUUCAGAGUGGCGUCUCAGACUCCCAGCGGAUCCAAAAAUCAAGUACGCUCCAUAUAUAGUGCAUGCGAAAGAGAGGAGAGUGAUCAGGUACUAUGGACCUAAAUGUGAUUUUUAAUAUAAGGAAAUUAUGAUAGAAUAGGGCCAACGAUUAGUUAUAAUGUUGGGUGGUAAUGGCAUUUGAUGUAAAUAUUCUAGUGAAGAAAGAGUAAUUUGAUUUGUAGGCUGAGAAUGAACGUAGGACUGCCACUUCGUCAUGACAUGCUUGUAAAUACUUUACAUUUUAAAUGUUAUUUUUUCAAAUUG